UGCGUAGGUGGAUUGGUAAGUCAGUGGUGAAAUCUCUGGGCUUAACUCAGAAACUGCCAUUGAUACUAUUAGUCUUGAAUACCGUGGAGGUCAGCGGAAUAUGUCAUGUAGCGGUGAAAUGCUUAGAUAUGACAUAGAACACCAAUUGCGAAGGCAGCUGGCUACACGAAUAUUGACACUGAGGCACGAAAGCGUGGGGAUCAAACAGGAUUAGAUACCCUGGUAGUCCACGCCCUAAACGAUGGAUACUCGACAUUUGCGAUAAACUGCAAGUGUCUGAGCGAAAGCAUUAAGUAUCCCACCUGGGAAGUACGAUCGCAAGAUUGAA
This 328-nucleotide ribosomal RNA is filed under the name uncultured bacterium. Its description in RNAcentral is "bacterial SSU rRNA". It matches the Rfam family "Bacterial small subunit ribosomal RNA", at positions 568 to 898 of the family's 1533-position model. The record is from RNAcentral.